GUGCCAGCAGCCGCGGUAAUACGUAGGGGGCAAGCGUUGUCCGGAUUUAUUGGGCGUAAAGAGCGUGUAGGCGGCCGAGCAGGUCCGUUGUGAAAACUGAAGGCUCAACCUUCAGAGGUCGAUGGAAACCGCUCGGCUAGAGUCCGGAAGAGGAGAGUGGAAUUCCUGGUGUAGCGGUGAAAUGCGCAGAUAUCAGGAAGAACACCCGUGGCGAAAGCGGCUCUCUGGGACGGUACUGACGCUGAGACGCGAAAGCGUGGGGAGCGAACAGGAUUAGAUACCCUGGUAGUCCACGCCGUACACGAUGGGUGCUAGGUGUUCGGGGUAUUGACCCCCUGAGUGCCGCAGCUAACGCAUUAAGUGCCCCGCCUGGGGACUACGGCCGCAAGGCUAAAACUCAAAUGAAUUGACGG
RNAcentral lists this ribosomal RNA (413 nucleotides) under uncultured bacterium. RNAcentral describes it as "bacterial SSU rRNA". It matches the Rfam family "Bacterial small subunit ribosomal RNA", at positions 505 to 916 of the family's 1533-position model. The record is from RNAcentral.